This 247-nucleotide ribosomal RNA is filed under the name uncultured bacterium. RNAcentral describes it as "partial 16S ribosomal RNA". It matches the Rfam family "Bacterial small subunit ribosomal RNA", at positions 523 to 769 of the family's 1533-position model. The record is from RNAcentral.
AUACGUAGGGAGCGAGCGUUGUCCGGAUUUACUGGGUGUAAAGGGUGCGUAGGCGGCUUAUCAAGUCAGGCGUGAAAUAUAUGGGCUUAACCCAUAGACUGCGUUUGAAACUGAUGAGCUUGAGUGAAGUAGAGGUAGGCGGAAUUCCCGGUGUAGCGGUGAAAUGCGUAGAGAUCGGGAGGAACACCAGCGGCGAAGGCGGCCUACUGGGCUUUAACUGACGCUGAGGCACGGAAGCAUGGGUAGC